AUAUUGGUCAAUGGAGGCAACUCUGAACCAGCCAUGCCGCGUGCAGGAUGACGGUCCUAUGGAUUGUAAACUGCUUUUGUACAGGAAGAAACAUCGCUACGUGUAGCGACUUGACGGUACUGUAAGAAUAAGGAUCGGCUAACUCCGUUCCAGCAGCCGCGGUAAUACGGAGGAUCCGAGCGUUAUCCGGAAUUAUUGGGUUUAAAGGGUUCGUAGGCGGUUAGAUAAGUCAGUGGUGAAAUUUCCUAGCUUAACUAGGACACGGCCAUUGAUACUGUUUGACUUGAAUAGUAUGGAAGUAACUAGAAUAUGUAGUGUAGCGGUGAAAUGCUUAGAUAUUACAUGGAAUACCAAUUGCGAAGGCAGGUUACUACGUACUUAUUGACGCUGAUGAACGAAAGCGUGGGGAGCGAACAGG
RNAcentral lists this ribosomal RNA (418 nucleotides) under uncultured bacterium. RNAcentral's name for it is "bacterial SSU rRNA". It matches the Rfam family "Bacterial small subunit ribosomal RNA", at positions 361 to 776 of the family's 1533-position model. The record is from RNAcentral.